GUAAGGAAUAUUGGACAAUGGGCGCAAGCCUGAUCCAGCCAUGCCGCGUGAAGGAUGAAGGCCCUAUGGGUCGUAAACUUCUUUUAAACGGGACGAAACCCCUCGACGUGUCGAGGGCUGACGGUACCGUAAGAAUAAGGGUCGGCUAACUUCGUGCCAGCAGCCGCGGUAAUACGAAGGACCCGAGCGUUAUCCGGAUUUAUUGGGUUUAAAGGGUGCGUAGGCGGACCUAUAAGUCAGUGGUGAAAGCCCAUCGCUCAACGAUGGAAUUGCCAUUGAUACUGUAGGUCUUGAGUAUAGUUGAGGUGGGCGGAAUGUGUCAUGUAGCGGUGAAAUGCUUAGAUAUGACACAGAACACCUAUUGCGAAGGCAGCUCGCUAAGCUAUAACUGACGCUGAGGCACGAAAGUGUGGGUAGCAAACAGGAUUAGAAACCCCAGUAGUCC
RNAcentral lists this ribosomal RNA (445 nucleotides) under uncultured bacterium. Its description in RNAcentral is "bacterial SSU rRNA". It matches the Rfam family "Bacterial small subunit ribosomal RNA", at positions 354 to 796 of the family's 1533-position model. The record is from RNAcentral.